GAAAUGCGAUAAGUAGUGUGAAUUGCAGAAUUCAGUGAAUCAUCGAAUCUUUGAACGCACAUUGCGCCCUUCGGUAUUCCGUUGGGCAUGCCUGUUCGAGCGUCAUUUAAACCUUCAAGCUCUGCUUGGUGUUGGGCGUUUGUCCCGCCUCUGCGCGUGGACUCGCCUCAAAUUCAUUGGCAGCCGGUACGUUGGCUUCGUGCGCAGCACAUUUGCGCGUCGUCUCCAGCCUGCCCCCUCCCAUCAAGCCACUUUUUUACUUUGACCUCGGAUCAGGUAGGGAUACCCGCUGAACUUAA
Molecule: unclassified non-coding RNA, 299 nt
Filed under: uncultured Pleosporales
Lineage: Eukaryota; Fungi; Ascomycota; Dothideomycetes; Pleosporales
Description: sequence contains ITS1
Rfam family: 5.8S ribosomal RNA (bases 1-105)
Source: RNAcentral